RNAcentral lists this ribosomal RNA (207 nucleotides) under uncultured bacterium. Its description in RNAcentral is "partial 16S ribosomal RNA". It matches the Rfam family "Bacterial small subunit ribosomal RNA", at positions 568 to 774 of the family's 1533-position model. The record is from RNAcentral.
CACGUAGGCGGAUCAGAAAGUUGGGGGUGAAAUCCCAGGGCUCAACCCUGGAACGACCUCCAAAACUCCUGGUCUUGAGUUCGAGAGAGGUGAGUGGAAUUCCGAGUGUAGAGGUGAAAUUCGUAGAUAUUCGGAGGAACACCAGUGGCGAAGGCGGCUCACUGGCUCGAUACUGACGCUGAGGUGCGAAAGUGUGGGGAGCAAACA